RNAcentral lists this unclassified non-coding RNA (469 nucleotides) under Hevea brasiliensis (rubber tree). The record is from RNAcentral. Lineage: Eukaryota; Viridiplantae; Streptophyta; Magnoliopsida; Malpighiales; Euphorbiaceae.
AGCCAGUUGCCUACAAUUGAAUUGAUUACUCCUCAACUGCAAAUCCCCUUUCCACCUUUUCAGCAAUCUAAAAAUAUAAAUUGAUAAUCUGCAAUAUAUCUUGGCUCAGGUCAUUAACUUCUGUUGUCUCUGAGGUCUACUUUUGGGCUCUUGAUCUUGAUCUUGCUCCAGCUUUCUUUUUAAGUUCCCCAAAUCUUCUUCACUCAGCUGGCCAUUCAGUUUUUGGUUUAAUGCAUAAGCCUCUGCUAACUUUCUCUUGCACUCCUUGCUCGCAGAAUCAUGAGAAAUCACUGGUUUUGGAUAAUCUCUUCCAAUUAUGCACUUUGCUUUAGUUUGAACACUUAGUGGUGCUGUCCAUGGCUCAUAGAUAUACUCCUUUGGCAUGUCUUUCAACACCGGAAGAAAAUGCCUUAUGUAAUUACCAUUUGGGUCAUACUUCUUCCCAAAAGAUAAAGGCGAGUAGAUACGA